This 73-nucleotide transfer RNA is filed under the name Dipodomys ordii (Ord's kangaroo rat). It matches the Rfam family "tRNA". Rfam says of the family: Transfer RNA (tRNA) molecules are approximately 80 nucleotides in length. Their secondary structure includes four short double-helical elements and three loops (D, anti-codon, and T loops). Lineage: Eukaryota; Metazoa; Chordata; Mammalia; Rodentia; Heteromyidae. The record is from Rfam by way of RNAcentral.
GGAGGCAUGGCUCAAGCAGUAGAGCACCUGCCUAGUAAGUACAAGGCCCUGAGUUCAAACCUCAGUACUGCCA